This is a long non-coding RNA of Gossypium raimondii (Peruvian cotton), 716 nucleotides long. RefSeq lists it as uncharacterized. The record is from RefSeq and is a predicted model, not a curated record. The transcript is spliced from 2 exons. NCBI's taxonomy places the organism in Eukaryota, Viridiplantae, Streptophyta, Magnoliopsida, Malvales, Malvaceae.
UUUAUUUCUUUUUUUCAGCCUUUUUUUCUUCUCUUUUCUUCCUUUCUUUCUUCCUCCCCGAUCAGCCCCCCGCCGAUUUCUCUGCUGCUGCCGGUGCUUUCUCCGCCUGCGGUGCAACGGCCGACGACGGCGACUAGAUGGGAGUAUAACGGUGGUGGCGGUUUGACGACGCACGGUGGCGAUGAGGCUGCUGUUUUUGCUUGAUUUUUCUCUCAAAAAUUUUGUUAUUUUUUUUCUUUUUGCUUCCUUGCUUGGCUGCUGAAUUGGGGUUUGAAAACCCUUUAAAUUGUUGAUUUUUUUUCUUUUUUGCAGGUAGCAGGUGGUUAGGGGAGAGGGAGGCCAUGCAUUAGGUCGGCUGUCGCAGUGUAGGUGCGCAACUUGCACUGUCGGAUGCCAGACGGACCAAAUUGCAAACACAGCAAAACUUUUGGGGCCAAAAUAUAAUUUUGAGAAAAUUUAGGGCUUAAAAUGUAAUUUCAAAAAGCUUAGGGGUCAAAAUAUAAUUUUAGGAAAUUUUAGGGUCAAAAUGCAAUUUUAAAAAUUUUAGGGGUCAAAAUGUAAUUUUUUAUUUUUUGUAUUUUUUUGAAAUUUAAAAAAAAACACGAAAUCAAGCCGGACAAAAUUCAGUGAUUACAGCUGCCCCUCUUUGCUCAUCGCUGUGAAACAGGGAUAGAACAAAGACUUAAAAGCACUGAAUUUUGUUCGACCAUCCAAAA